GGUAUGUCCAGAAAUCUUGAUGCAUGUAUCUGAAAAGAAAAUUUCUGUUUCAUGUGAAGAAUUCCGAUUUGGUACUUUCAGGUUUUAAGUGCCUAAAGUCAGGGAGAGAAAAGGAGACAGUAUUUAAGGAAUUUAAGAUCUUGAAGUGGAAAAGGCCUAGAAGAGCCAUAACUGCUGAGUCUUGGAAAGAAAAUGAAACAGAGUGUCUGCAUGCAGUUUCCUUAAGACUUUUUCAAGUUAGACUUCUGUACCUGGUAUCCUUGCUGUGACAGUUCCCUUCUAUUUCCUGACAAACAAGGUGGGUUGUAUAUUGGAAUUCCAACCUUGUAGUUAGUUAGAACCCUGGGAAUCCUUACAGAAAUGCAAAUCAAAACCACAGUGAGAUACCAUCUCACACCAGUUAGAAUGGCGAUCAUUAAAAAGUCAG
Molecule: long non-coding RNA, 427 nt
Organism: Homo sapiens (human)
Lineage: Eukaryota; Metazoa; Chordata; Mammalia; Primates; Hominidae
Exons: 3
Source: RefSeq, a predicted model, not a curated record